CGAGGACGUGUUACUCUUGGUCUGUCUUCUAAAGCGCUUAGAUAUCUCGUAAAGACGAUUUGCGAAGGCCAUAGAGGUGAUCAAUCGGAUUCUCAUGGAUGUCUUUCCCAUUGAUGACGCAGAGUCACUGUUACUACAAUCGUCCCGCAGUCUGAUGUCGGGGCGGGACGUUGUCAGAAUCCGGCUGUAGUAAAGGUGUUGCUCGAAGCCGUCCACGUGCUCCCCUGCGUUGCCUGCGUGGAAGGUUCUGGACACCUCGGGGGACACUACGUCACGUCCCCGCUGCGCCCUCGCCUUCAUCAGCCACCAGUCCCAAUCACCGGGCUGUAGUGGGGCAGGAGAUUAUACUGUAGUGGGAUCCAGUUAGUGAUGACCUGCCUCGCGUAGCUCCGUCGCACCAUCCACCCAUACAUCGGGAAGCUCUCCGAUCUCAGCAGCUGCGAGGCGUCGGCGGCCGUGUCAGGGAGGCUGUUACUAUUAAAGGCGUUGACGCAGAACACAGUUGGGUCGUUGUCCAGCACCCAUGCGGCCUGGUGGAAGAAACUGACCCGUUCAUAAAAGAGUGGAAUGUGCAGCUGCGUGAAACAGAGACGUGCACUGCUCACCUCGACCUCUCAGCUGUGUUACGGUGCUCAGGCGGAGACUUUUUGGUGACGGCAGCCCCACCUGGAGUGUUGCAGCCGCCUCAGCCACCACGCCUCUGCCCGUGACAGCCACGCCCACCCAAGGCUCGCCCCACGCCAUUCUGGAGCACCAUCGAAAUCCUAAGGAAUCCAGUGCCUUCGCUCCUGCUUGACCCAGAAACAAAGAAAAUUCUGGCUGAAAGUAAAAGAGAUAAGCACAUAAGAAUGUAAGAACAUGUAGGACACUGCAAGAAAUCUAUAUGCCUUUACGUGGAAGUAUGAAACAUGCAUACUUUAUAUCCACCUAUCAUCCCUAU
Molecule: long non-coding RNA, 940 nt
Organism: Scylla paramamosain (green mud crab)
Lineage: Eukaryota; Metazoa; Arthropoda; Malacostraca; Decapoda; Portunidae
Exons: 4
Source: RefSeq, a predicted model, not a curated record